Molecule: microRNA, 22 nt
Filed under: Gallus gallus (chicken)
Lineage: Eukaryota; Metazoa; Chordata; Aves; Galliformes; Phasianidae
Description: microRNA Ros-gga
Source: RNAcentral
CCACCUCCCCUGCAAACAAUCC